CUUUGAUUCUCAUGCUUUGAGGUCAUGACUCCGCCAUUCCAAGUAAAAAAAUAAUAUUAGCAAACGGUACCGAAUACAGGUCUUGUUUUAGUUCGCUAUAACAAAUAGCUUCAUUCAGUUUAUGCUAACUUCACAAAGUUGUGCUUUACAUUUGAUUCGUUAAGAGGCGUUUAGGCACUGCGCCAGACCGUAAUAAAUGUGCAAACGUUGUAAAGCUGACCCCUCUAAUAGCUUCCUACAACAGAGGUCUUGGACUAUUUGAGGAGAGCCCAACCAGUCCACAAGUGCUAGGGUGUAGCUACUGAUCCUAUACUACAGCAGAGAGAGUGAGAGGGAGGAGGGACAUCAGGUGUCACUGCUCUGCAACCCCAGUUGAGGCUGCAUUACCACGACAACCAGCUCCAGGGGUGCUGCCAGCUCUCUGCCUUAGCCAGCCCUGCACCCAGCCGACCACCCAGCCAGCUAUCUACCCAUGCAUCCAUCCAUCCAUCCAUCCAUCCAGCCAUCCAGCCAGGCCGGCCCUACACUGCCCAGAACUGGCAACCCACAGGAGUCAUCAGGGUUAGUGUGCCUUUGGCACACCUCUGUGCCAAAAUCAUCUCCAAGCAUCAGGCAGCAACUUGUAAAUUUAUGGAUCUGCAUUUAAACCAAAGGCCAGACAAUCAGAUAAUAUACUUACAUUAGAGAGAGAGAGAGAGAGAAGGGGGGCGAUCCCCAGCCAUCCAUAAAACACUGCCACUGGUCCUGAUUUAUCAGUCAAUAGGACAAGUCAAGAGACAUGCAGAUUUUUAAUUGUAGCACAAAAACCAAUGU
Long non-coding RNA from Etheostoma spectabile (orangethroat darter), 813 nucleotides. RefSeq lists it as uncharacterized. The transcript is spliced from 4 exons. NCBI's taxonomy places the organism in Eukaryota, Metazoa, Chordata, Actinopteri, Perciformes, Percidae. The record is from RefSeq and is a predicted model, not a curated record.